Non-coding RNA from Camellia sinensis, 582 nucleotides. The record is from RefSeq and is a predicted model, not a curated record. NCBI's taxonomy places the organism in Eukaryota, Viridiplantae, Streptophyta, Magnoliopsida, Ericales, Theaceae.
GAUGACUGACCAUUUUGGUGAAUAAACAAAUAAGACCUAGGCAUUGUUCAUCUCUCUCUCAAUCCACAACCUUAAGCGGCGCACAAACACAGAGGUGGCUAAAGAGAGUGUCGAUGUCAUAAUUCUAGAUCACAACUCUUCCACAAUUCCAAUUGUGGCCAAAUGGGGAUGCUCGGUAUACAUAAACAUUCAAAAAUUUGUUCAGUUUCAGCUGACAGUCAACGUGAUUGCCCUAAUUGUCAACUUUUCUUCAGCUUGUUUGAGAGAUUGGCAAUGGUGGAAAAUAGUUCGAGCUACAUCAGAAGAUUUGAUUUUGAUAAAUGAGUUAUGGGUUAGAUGUUUAGCAUCAAAAUAUUUGGUUUGGUGUUUUUGCAAAUAUUUUGACAUUGGAUUUUGGUAAAUGAUUUGUGGGUUAGAUGUUUAGCAUCAAAAUAUUUGGUUGUGUUUUGAAAAAUAUUUUGACAUAGGAUUUGGUAAUGAAUUUGUGGGUUUGAUGUUAAUAGUGUGGUAUGAAUGUUUCAGAUUGUUAGAGAAUUGUAAUUAUGUUUAUUGAGAUGUUUAAUAGCUAUUAGUUUUGAAUUA